GGGCGCAUAGCUCAACGGUAGAGCAACUCCCUCUUAAGGAGUCGGUUGGGGGUUCGAAUCCCUCUGCGCUCACCU
This 75-nucleotide transfer RNA is filed under the name Candidatus Gottesmanbacteria bacterium RIFCSPLOWO2_02_FULL_38_8. RNAcentral describes it as "tRNA-Lys". It matches the Rfam family "tRNA". Rfam says of the family: Transfer RNA (tRNA) molecules are approximately 80 nucleotides in length. Their secondary structure includes four short double-helical elements and three loops (D, anti-codon, and T loops). Lineage: Bacteria; Candidatus Gottesmaniibacteriota. The record is from RNAcentral.